UAUCAAGUUUAUUAUCUGAGAGUGGCACAAAAUAGUUAAUAACCAAUGUUAUACCUAUCACACCCUUUUGAGAGACUUGAUACUUGGUCUUGUACAAAUUAACAACUGCUGCAUGAGCUAGAAGUUGAUAAUGUGCAACUAAAUAAGGUUCAGUUCCAGAAUCACCGCCGGUGCAAUUUGGAUUCAACCAAGAAGAGCAUCGACCAGGUGCCAUUUCACCAUUUGCAUACCCAUCUUGACUGUAAGUCCAUGGUUCAUUCAAAGUUAUCCAAUGUUUUACUCUAUCUCCAAAUGUUUUGAAGCAAAGUUCCGCAUAGUCUUGAAAGUCUUUUCUGUACGUAGUUGAAGAUAUAUAAUGAUGAAUGAGAAACUUUUUCAUAACUAUUUAAACUAAUUAAGUGAAAAUUUGAAAUUGUAUCACUCACAUGAUGAGAGGACUUAAGAAACCGCCAUAUUCAUCUUCUAGAGUUUGAGGAAGAUCCCAAUGAAAAAGAGUUACAAAUGGUUGUAAACCUGUGACAUGAGAUGGCUAUAUUAGAAUAUGCUAAAAUGCAAAGCAUAAACGAAAAUGAAGUUUGUAUUCUUACCAUUUGCCACCAACUCAUUGAUGAGGUUGUUGUAAUAGUCGAUUCCUUCUUGAUUAAUUCCUCCACUUAGUUUCCCAUCUGGGAGUAUUCUAGACCAAGAUAUGGAAAAUCUGUAUGCAUCCAAGUUCAUAUCCUUCAUGAUACCAACAUCUUCCUUAUAUCGAUGAUACGAGUCAACCGCAACGUCUCCAUUGUUUCCAUCACUGAUUUUUUGAGGAUAUCUAUGAGUGAAUGUAUCCCAAAUACUUGGUCCUCUUCCACCUUCACUUGCUGCACCUUCAUAUUGAUAUGCAGAAGAUGCUGUGCCAAAUAUAAAGCCUUCUGGGAAAUCAUUUCUAUUCAAAGUACCUAUUUGAGGUGUAGUUUUAAUUAUUUCUUGACCAUGUGUGAAAGUAAUUAUGAAUGUUGGCAACAAGAGAGAAAAUAGGAAAUAUCUCAUGCUUAAUGAAUUUGUUUCAGUGAAUUAGUUGAUGAUGAUGACAAAAACAAAGGUGUGGUUUUAUGUAAGAAUAAGAAAGAAAGAAAGAAAGAAAGCAAGAAAGAAAGAAAGAAAGAAUGAAUGAAUUUGUUGUGGGCUAUGAAAGUGUGUGGUUUCUAUUUAUAUAAGAAAAAGAAAUAAAGAAUUUUGGUGGGUAGUGGCAGCUUCAGUGUAACUGCCACCUUUAUUUUUCUAGUCAAAUUAUCAUAGUCAAUUAAUGCGACGGCUGCUGUUGCUCUAUGAGUCACUAACCAAUGAGGUACUGUUCUACGUACUCCUUUCAAUCAUCUGUAGCUCUUUUUCUUCAUUGAAUGAUUACAAAAAUAUCAUGACAUCUCAGCAGCUAAAUAAAUUUUGUUGAGAGAUGAUAAACCUGUCAAGAAGUGUAUUGAAUCACACAAUUAGUAAUCUGAUAAAUUAAAAUUAUGUAUCCAAUGUAAUUAAUAAAUUUUCGGUAUGAAUUGUAUUUAGAACAUAAAAUGGAGGAAUCUAUUGAAAUAGAGAAAGACUAGAAUAAAGGUAAUCAAGAUAUUGUUUCCCCAUGGAAUUUUGUAUGACAACUCUCGUCUUUUCUUGGGAGGUUGUGGGUAAGAUGAAUAUGUUGACCAUUUAUUUUGUUUUUGUUGUGACAAGUUUGGUAUUAGAAUAUUAAUCAAUAACUAUCUUGUAACAAAGUUAGUUAAGUUUGUUUCAAAAUUUGUUAGUUAGAUAGAUUGUUCUACAAGCAAGUGAUAUUGUGCCUAUAAAAGGCUUUGUAUUGUGAAACUUCAAGUCUUAAUGAGAUUACAGAAUUCAUAGCAACUAUUCUAUUCUUCUCUCGUCCAUUUUUCUGUUCUAUUUUGCUAUUUCUCUCAUCUUGCUAAAACAGCUUAUCUGCAUGAGCACUUCUGUUGCGCAUAAGAACAUAGUCAAUGUUCUAACAAUUGGUAUAGAGAGCCUGGGUUAAAUUCAAGGGAAACACGAGUGAAGUGUGAGGGGAAUCAUCAUUGGGAAACACUGAGUAAGGUGUGAGCAUUGAUUUCUUAGAAAGCAAGAUGAAUAGCAAUGGUUUUGGAACAAACAUUCUGAUUCUUGAUUGAUGGGAAGAACUGGGAAAGUUGGAGUGCAUUGAUGAAGUUGUUAUUUGGAGCACAAGAUGCUCUUGAAUUGGUGGAGAAUGGGUAUGAAGAUCUUGCUGCAUAUGCUACAUAUGUGCAGAGAGCAUCUUUCAAAAGAACAUAAAAGAAGAAAGAUUGCAAGGCAUUGAUUUACAUUCAACAUAAUGUUGAUAAUCAAAAUUUUGAGAAGAUUUCAAAGGCAACAAGAUCCAAAGAAGCUUGGGAUAUACUGGAGAAUUAUCAUAAUGGGGGAGAAAAAAUGAAACAAGUCAUGUUGCUGUCAUAUAGAAGAAAGUAUAUGAGAUGAUGCAAAUGGAGGAAGAUCAAAAAGUAAGUGAUUAUUUCUCCAAGAUGAUUGAGAUUGUGAAUUUAAUGAAGAAUUUUGGUGAAAACAUCUCAGAUCAUAUAGUAGUUGAGAAAGUCUUGAGAUUCUUAAGUCAAAAAUUUGAUUUCAUAGUAGUAGCAGAUCAAUAAGCAAAGGAUGUGAAAACUAUGAAGAUUGAAGAAUUGCAGAGUUCCCCUGAAGGACAUGAGCUACUGGUGAUUGAUAGAGGUUCAGAAAUAUCAUUUCAACAAGCUCUUCAGGCUCAAACAACCAAGAAAAAGGGAAAUUACAAGAAUUUCAAGAAGAAAGGAAAGGGUAAAACAAACUGGUCAAACAAUGGGAAAUCCAAAACUGAGGACAAACCUGAAUCUUCUAAAAGAUGAGGUUUUGUUAAAAAUCAUAACAAGAAGAAGGAUUUUGACAAAAUCAAGAUUUAGUGCUACAAUUGUGAGAAGACAGUUUGCUAAUGAGUGUUGGUUCAAGAAGGAUCAAAAGACAGAAGAAGCAAUUAUUGCUCAUGGAGGUGAUCCUGAUGCAAUUUCGAUGAUGGCUGCUACUUGAAAAGACAAGAUUAAUGUGAAGAGUGGUAUAUUGAUUCUGGAUUUUCUAAUCGCAUGACAUAUCAUAGAGAGUGGUUAACAAAAUUUGAUGCUAGCAUGAAAACUAGUAUUAAGGUAGUUGAUAGCAGAAACUUGCAUCAGAAGGAAGUGGAAAUAUAGUGAUUAAAAACAAUUUUGGUGGAAAAAUCAUUAUUGAAGAUGUGUUCUAUGUUCCAAAUAUGAAGUGUAAUUUGAUGAGCACAGUUCAAUGAGUGGACAAGGGGUUCUCAGUAAAAAUGGAUGGUGAUUCAUUGAAAUUGUUUGAUGCAAAGAACAAUUUGGUGCUAAAAUAUGCUUUGUCCAAUAAUAGAAUCUAUAGAUGCAUCAUAUCAAUUGAUAGAUAUGAUGUGUAUGUCUGCAACAAUCAAUGAAGAUGCUGAAGCUUUAUAGCAUCUAAGGUAUGGCCACUUGAACUUAAGAAGUCUUGGUGAAUUGAACUCUAAAGAACCGGUGCAUAGUUUACCAAAGUUGAAUAUCAUAAAGUCUAUUUGUGAAAUUUGUGUGAGAAGCAAGCAAACUAGAAUGCCGUUUGUGUUUGAGGCACCUAAAAGACAAGUGCAGCAUUAGAAGUCAUUCAUUCUGAUAUCUAAGAAUUACAAGUCAUUCAUUCUGAUUUCUAAGGCCUUUUUGAAGUAGCUUCUCUAGGUGGUAGUAAGUACUUCAUUACCUUUGUUGAUGAAUUUACAAAAAUGAUUUGUUGUAUACUAUAAAGAUUAAGAGUGAAGCUUUAGAUAUAUUCAGAAAAUUCAAAGUCUUAGUGGAGAUGGAAAGUGACAAAUCCAUUAAGAUUUUGAGAACAGAUGGUGGAGGUGGGUAUAAAUCUAAGGAUUUUGAAGCUUUCUGCAUAAGUCAAGGAGUUGUUCAUGAAGUAACAGCUCCAUAUACACCUCAACAUAAUGGACUUGCAGAAAGAAGGAAUAGAACUUUGCUAAAUAUGGCCAGAAGCAUGAUUAAGCAGAAGAACCUGCCACACAAGUUUUGGGGUUAAGCAGUCACCACAGCUACAUAUAUUCUAAAAAAUGUUCCACUAAGAAGUUAAAUUUGAAGGUACCAUAAGAAGCUUGGUGUGGAAGGAAGCCUAGUGUGAAGCUUUGGCUCCUUGUGCUAUAAGCAUGUACCAGAUGCAAGAAGGAGCAAGCUUUAAGAUAAAAGUGAGAUUAUGAUACUCAUAGGGUAUCAUCCAACUGGUGCAUACAAAAUCUAUAACUCUGUUACUCAGAAGGUUCAUAUUAGUAUGGAUGUGAUGGUGAAUGAAACUGAGAAACGGAAAUGGAAAGUGAACAUGAGUAUAGCCGUGAGAUCAAACAAAGCUAUAUAUCCUGAUUCAAGUGAUGAAUCAGAAGGUGAAGAGGAUCAUGAGGUUGUUGAAAAUGAUCCAGAAGAAAUUAUAGCACCAACAAGGCCACAAAGAAAUAGACAAACACCUAUUAGACUGAAUGAUUGUGAGAUCAUUCCUGAUAAUGCAGUGAAUGAUAAAGGUGAUCUCAUUCACUUUGCAUUGCUAGCAGGCUCUGAACCAAUCAACUACAAAGAAGCACUAAAAAUUGAUGUAUGGAAAGAGCUAUGAUAGAGGAACUGCAAUCAAUUGAGAAAAAUCAAACCUAGGAACUAGUUAACUUGGCACACAAGAAAAAGAAGAUUGAUGUGAAACGGGUAUUCAAAGUGAAGUUGAACCCUGAUGGACAAGUUUCUAAGCAUAAAGCAAAGCUAGUUGCUAGAGGUUUUCUGCAAAAGCAUGACAUUGACUAUAAUGAGGUGUUUGCUCCAGUGGCUAGAAUUGAAAAAAGUGACGUUAGUAGUUGCUAUUGCAUGCAAGAAUGAGUGGUCACUCUACCAUUUAGAUUGUAAAAUAAUCACGACACCUUAGCAACACAAUAAAUUCCUUUUAAAAUGUUAAUAUUAAUUUAUUUAUUUUUGGUACAAAAAUGUUAAUAUUAAUUUGUUAACAAUUUUAUUCCUUUUGCUAUAUAGAGUUAUUGUUAUCUAUUAUUUAUAUAUAUAUAUAUAUAUAUAUAUAUAUAUAUAUAUAUAUAUAUAUAUAAAACAUGAGAAUAGGGACGAGCAAUUUAAUGGCUUUUUCAUAAUGUAUUUUUUGCAAUUUUUGUUGAUGAAAUAUAUUUUACAAUAUUGAUAUAUCCUUACAAAUUCCCAUUUAAUUUAAUUCCAUAUCCACCGGUAUAGGCAGUAACUCGUUAUUUUCUGCUCCAAAAAAAGAAAAGAGGAGGAAUCUAUUGAGACAUGAAUAAAGGUAAUCAAUAUAUUACUGGAGAAAGAGGCUAUGAUGUUCGGCGCGAAAAUAAGUAAAGUAUGGUUAAGGAUUGUUUAACUCAUAAAUUAAAUUCAUGUUAUACAAAAUAAUUCGUCUUUGGUGAAACUAAUUAACAAGUUGAGUCCAAUUGCUUGGUUAAAUAUUUAGCAUUUCCACUAAACUAACAAAACACUUGUGAUUUAUAUUAUUUCAUAUUUAUAUAUAUUUAACAUUUAAAAAAUUUAUCUUUAUAAAAAACAUUUAAAAGUUUUAGAAUAUUUUACAUAAUAUUUACAAGUGAUAAUAUUAAAAUAUUGUAAAAAAUGCAUUUUUUAAUUUAUCAUAUACAACUUCGAACAUAUAUUAUCGCAGUGAGUUUAAUACUAGAUUACUUUUUUUAGUGCAUGUAAUUUUUUGAACAUAAAUUAUAGUUAUCAGUGAAAAUUUAAAAUUUGAAUCUUAGAUGAAGGUAAAUGUAAAUGUUUUUUGAGUUCGAAGGAAUAUUGUAUCAUGAAAGGUGACAUCAUCCCCUCACCCGGUCUAUUUUUUUAGUUAAAAAAGAAAAAAUCAUCCUAUUUUUAUUUUAUUUUUUUGUCGAAAAAGUAAGAUCAUCCGUGAGUAAAAUGUUGAACUUAUUACCUUAAAAAAAUAGAAAACGUGGAAUUAGAUUACUAAUGUUAAGAUAACUUAAUAAGUAUAUGAUGAAGAUUCAUGCACAAACCACACUUUUGAAGAAAGGGAUGGGGUAUACGUUGCUUUUCAAUUUUUUAACUCUUAUUUAUUUAUAAUUACCCCAUGUUUUAAGCGUUAAAGCUCAUCGAUCAUAGAACUGAUGAAUAAACCUGCAACUUGUUUAAUUAAUUAAUCAGCCAAUAUUUUUUAUUGGUCUUAUGGUCUACACGUUAUCGUCCCAUCAAAAUAAUAAAGUAAGUAAAAGUAGGUUGUGAUGUUUGUCUUUUUUUUUUUUUAUCGGUUUCCAACUUACCAAAGGUGAACAACUGAUAUAAUUUAUCUAUAGAGACAUUGUUCUUCCUAAAAAUCGAAUACGGUAUUCCUCAAAUACAUCCUUAAAUUAAGCUCCUUUCUCCUGGAGCCAAAUCAUCUUAGUUAGGUGGUGUUUGUCUUUGUCAAACCAAGAUGACCGUGGCAUGCACGUAAAAGGAAGCAUUAUAUUCCUGCACGUGAUAGAUAUCUAUCAUUAAAGUUGAACGGUCAAUAUAUCUUCUUGUCAAAAAAUAGAUCUAUGAGUUUUUUUUUUUUUUUUUCAAAUAGUCUAGUGGUUAGAGCUCACACAAUUUAAUUAUGUAUAAGUGGGGUGUCUGGAAUUUGAACUCUGAUCCCUGCAUAUAAUAUGUAAUAUCCCUACCAACUGAACUAAGCUCACAGGAUACAGAUGUAUGAUUUUAAUCCUCAUGGAAUGCGUUGAAUGUAAUAGUACAUUAGUAAUAUUAAUAUCAGGGAAGUAGGGAACCAACCUUCGGUUGUGACUUUUCAAUCACAUUAGUCAUUCUUAUGUGAUUAACGCACUAUCUUUUCCUCUUAAAAAAGCACUAUCUUAUUUUUAUGAAAAAAAUAAACAAAUUAGUGGAGAACAACAAUAUAUUGUUCACUUGUCAAAAAAACAAUAUAUUGUUCAAGUGAUUAAAAAUUGCAUCCCUUUACGUUUGUGAUUAGAGGUUCGGUUUCAAACUCAUGCGUAUAAAAAGAAUAUCGUUGUGAGGAGAGAACUUGUCUUGUGUGUUCCAGAUAUUUAUCGAUCAAGAUUAAUCACUGUUAAACGGAGGUAAAAAUCUCUCGUACCAAAAUUAUGGUAACAAAAUAAUAUUGUCGAGGAUACCCUUCACGGUAUUAGUUACACCUUGAACCUCAACAGUAUUUAUAAUAGAGUGAGAUUUCAUGAAUCAUUAAUGAAAUUUACGUAGUUUAUAGCAGUUAAUUAUAGAGAGUGAGAUUUCAUAUAUUAGUUGUUGUAGCAAACCAAGUUAAAUAAAAGCAUAUUGAUUGGUUGAGAUUAUCUUAUCCAUAGCACAAGUCAACCUACUUGCCAAAACUUUCACAACCACCUUGUUGAGAGACCUUAGAAGCGAGAUGAGGUGAAAAUCUCCCAAGUGAAGUGAAGAGUCCACCUUAGGAAUGAGCAAAAUAGAACGAAAAACUCUGCAUUAGGCUAGAAUUAGAGAAAAACUGCUUAAACAUAAUCCCGUAGGGGACCCUCUGGCACCGUUCCUUUUUCUCCUCGUCGUGGAAGGGUUUAGCGCGUCCAUAAAAUCAUUACAAAAUAUCCCAUAAACCAUAGGAAAUUGUUCUAGAACUCCUUUAAUUUGAGUCAAAUCAUAACUAAAAUGAAUAAAAAAAAUAUGCUGAAAAUAACGUAAGAUGACUUGUCAUUAGAGCUCAUACCUUGAAUAUAAAUUUUUUUGUUACCAUGAUAAUCUUUUAAGAGGAGCAAUUUUAUUUACAUUUUCCUUGUUGUAGCAUAUGCAUGAAAAUAUUCGGUGUUAUGGUCUCCGUCUUUAUAUCAAUGUGCCUUAGCUCUUUGACGCCAAUAUGCAUCUUAUUGCAUAAGCAACCUAUUCACGUAUUUCCCAACGGGAAGCAUCUGAGUCUGAUUAUCACCAGAAUUAAUAUUACGAGCAUUGUUCAAUUGACGACUACACUCCUUAAUAUCAAGUUUCAACUUAUUAAAAUGAUCUAUGCUCUAAGAGUACAUGUCUUCAUCACACCAACUCAAUCUUGGAAGCAUCGAGUGAUUGGUAUACAUAUUCCAACUAUCCUUGACCAUGUCAUCAAAUCCCAGUUCGAGUUUGCAAGAGUUUUCAAAUCAAGAAUUAUGCCUAGACAACUGAUGACGCACUACAUGAUUGUGAUCCAACACAAUGGGAUAGUGAUCCGACGCUGGGGCUACAAGUUUUCAACUUUUGCUUCCAUAAACAUAUUGAACCAAACAGAGUUAACUAGAGCAUGAUCCAUCUGUUCUUCAACAGCCCGGGGAGUCCCCAAGAUCUUAAACCAGGUAAAUGGAUACCCCUCCACGAGAACAUCAUAUAGCCCAUAAUCAAUAAUUGCUUGUUGAAAGUCAUUGAUCUACUAGUUCUGCCUCUUUUUUCACUAGCAUCCUUAAUAUCGUUGAAAUCCCCAAAGAUGCAUCACAGGCCAUUAAACUCACUAGAUAAUUGACGAGGAAAGUCCCAGGCAGCACGCCUAUGUCCCCCAUUGGGGUACCUGUAGUAGCAUGUGAGUCUCUAAGUACCACAGAGUAUCAUUAACCUAUAUAGUAAUAUGAUUGUGUGAGUAAUUAACAAUGUGACAAUUAAAAGAGGCACACCAAUAAAGAGCACGACUACCACCAAGAACAUAACGCAAAUCCUCAAUUUUAUUAGUGUGAACUAAUGUCUCACUUAGGAAGAGGACGUUUGUGUUAUAGUGUCGGACAAUGUACAUUAAAUCAGGAAUUGCGCUCAGGCUGCCUAAACCUUGGACUCAUUUUCCUCAGCAGGCCUGGUGCAUAGGUCAUGUAGUUAUAACUUGAUCAUCAUACAUAGGAUUGUUAGCAUACAUUACAACAUCCCCCCAACUCUAACAUCAACACCUAAAGGAUUAUUCCCCAUAUCUCCAUCAACAGUAGACUCAAAGACUUAGACUGAUUCUCUUCACUCUAGUCUUUAACAACAUUAAUGCACUGAUGCUUCUUCAGUUCAAUCCCCAAGGCAUCUGUUUCAACUUUCAACAUCAAUAGCAGCAAGAGAAUUAUUCCCACCCAUAUCAUUUUCAUUCGCGGCCAGCAACCCAAGAACAACUUGACGUGUUGCACACCAUUUGUAAGCAUAGGGGUAGUAGCAUAUGGAAGCAUAGACCCACUAGAGGAGGCAGCACCAAGCAAAUACUUACUUGGCCUCGUGAGAGUACUUAGUUAAGAAACAAGGAUACCUGUUUUGAUAGCACUAAUUUCACAGUGCACCGCAUUGAUACGACCAUCCAAAUUACCAUUGUGGAGGACCCAACAUUUGAUUUACCAGCACUUGCAACAUUAUGAACCGCACCAUUCAUAGUCCCUUCCCUCAGCCUCAUUGAAGGAAUAGGAUCUUGCAGCCACAUGUUGGUAGCAGUUGUCCCCAUACGCCUUGUCACAUGCUGCAACGCCUCUCCCCAUCUUCCUCUAUAUCAAAAAAAUUUGGACAACUUUUAUCCGUAUCACCCAUCAAUUCACAUAAGUAACAGAAAACUCCUAACUUCUCAUGCUUGAAAUGAAUAUCAGCAUAGCUGCCAUCAUUUGCUCACACCUGCCACUCCUGUUUCAAAGGAAUUGUGACAUAUGUAUGCACCUUCAGGCGCAUAUAAGAGCUAUGCACAAUGUUUCGGUGAUCAUACUCUUUCAUCUCUCCAACGAACUUACCAAUUCUGUUACCAACUCUUGGUUGAAUGAAACUGAAAGGCAGCUAAUGAACCUGAACCCAGAUGUCCAUGUGGUUCAAAUUCACGCUCGACAGAACGACACCAGGUGAGAUACGUUCAAUCACCAUGUUAAAAUUGUCGUAAAGCCAAGGGCCUUCAUCCAUAACUUUUCCAACAUCAAGGUGGUGAAUAAACAAUAAUAAGAAACGGUAUGCAUCUGCUUGAGUGAUGGAGACGCGUUUCACAGAGUUCCUGAUGGAGCCAAGACGCUCCUUAAAGUUGGCAAACCGAACCUUCUUAACAGUGAGCACCCUACCAAUAAGGCAAUGAUCAAUGAUUUGGAUACCAGCAAUUUCAAAUUCGAGAUUAAGAGUCAAUCCCUCAUCUGUCAAACUUAUAUUUAGUCUAGUAGUGGCAUAUUGUUAUCCUCAAAGGUUUUAGGUUGUAAGACGUUUCAAGAGGACUAUAAUAUUUUCAAUUUAGAGAUGCCUAAUGGUAUAUUCAAGUUUGACAUAAACAUACCCUAUUAGAUUUUUUUGUAAUCACAGGUUGGUUAAAAUGGGAAAAUUCUUCGGUGUGUGAAGGGACUAAGUCAUACAAAAUAAAAUUACAAGAAUCAUCAAAAAAGAUCAAUUAUAAUAAUAUAUUUACAUACAAUUACAAAUAGUAUUCUUCUUAUAAUUAAACAAUGAAAUAAUUAAAUGAAAUUAUUGUGUUUACAACAACAACUAUGGUGUUUAUAAGGAAUUUUGAAGCAAUGUUAGAUCGAUUCUCUAUAAAUUCUGGUGUCUAACGUGAGAAAAUUCUUGAACCACAAUCCUGAAAGCUUUUGAUAUCUUUUCAAACCAUCUUUGUAAUCUAUAAAAGUCAUUCCAAAUCUCACAGUAUAACCCCUAUGCCAUUCAAAAUUAUCCAACAGAGACCAUGCAAAGUAUCCCUUUACAUUUACACCAGCUCUGCAUUUCAUUGAAAGAAAUAAUAUCAUAUAGUUAAAUUCCAUGCAAAAAAUUAAAUAGACUAUGUCUUUAGAUUUUUCAAUAUAUUACUUACAUUAUUGCCUCUCUAAGAUAAAAGAGAUGACGGUAAUGAUAAUCGAUUCUAUAAAUAUCUAAAAGAGAUUCCUCAACUGAUAAUGACGGGUCGUCGUACUCAUUUAUACCUGCACAUCAUGAAAAUUUCAAUUGUCAUACAUAAUUUCAUUAUAUAAUGAAAAUAUGUUUCGAUAUGAUACAUGUGCGAUUUGCUUACCGUUUUCAGUAAUAUAAAUUAAAGGAUUGUUGUAUUUUUCUUUAGCGUAUAUCAAAAAGUCUCGAAUUCCUCUUGGAUAAACAUACAACCAUUCUGAAGCAACCUGAAAUUAAAUACACAUAACAAGUUUAUUAAUUACACAAUAACAGAAAACCAAAAAAAAAAGUAAGAUGUUGCAAUUUUUAAGGUAUAAACUUACAUUUAGACCAAUUGGUUUUCCAUCUCGUGCGACUGCAAUCACAAAAAUAUAAAAUAUACCAUCAUUUAAAUUUAUAAUACUACUUAAACAAUCAAUAAAUACAAGAUAGCAGUAAGCUAAAAGUGCUUACAUGAAAAACUAAUCAGAGAAUCUGUUAGGUAGCUAGAAUUUGCAUUGCUUAAUUGAGGUGCAUCAGAAACAUAGCAUGAAGAGUAGUAAUUUAUGCCAAUAAAAUCAAAUGAACCACUGACUUGCUUAGAUUGCUCUUUUGUAAACUUUGGUAACCUUGAUCUAACCAAGGCUCUCAUGGUUUUUGGAUAAUCUCCAUUGACCAAGGGAUCCAUAAACCUAUAAUUAUAUAUAGAAAUGGAAUAAGUUAUCAUAUAUAUAUAUAUAUAUAUAUGCUUGUGUUAAUUUGGGUGGUAUAAUUAUGUUAGCUUUAUGUUUGUACUUACCAUCCAAAUUGAAAGUCUGUAUUUCGUUCAGCAGCAUUUUUAUUUUGUUUGUUAUCUGAGAACGGCACAGACCAGUUAAUGAUCAAUGUUAUACCUAUCACACCCUUUUGAGAGACUUGAUAUUUAGUCUUGUACACAUUAACAGCUGCUGCAUGAGCUAGAAGUUGAUAAUGUGCAACUAAAUAAGGUUCGGUUCCAGAAUCUCCACCGGUGCAAUUUGGAUUAAACCAAGAAGAACAUCGACCUGGUGCCAUUGCGCCAUUUGCAUAUCCAUUUUGACUGUAACUCCAUGGCUCAUUCAAAGUUAUCCAAUGUUUUACUCUAUCUCCAAAUGU
RNAcentral lists this long non-coding RNA (11963 nucleotides) under Medicago truncatula (barrel medic). RNAcentral describes it as "long non-coding RNA (MTRU_LNC001957)". Lineage: Eukaryota; Viridiplantae; Streptophyta; Magnoliopsida; Fabales; Fabaceae. The record is from RNAcentral.